Molecule: ribosomal RNA, 754 nt
Filed under: uncultured bacterium
Lineage: Bacteria
Description: bacterial SSU rRNA
Rfam family: Bacterial small subunit ribosomal RNA
Source: RNAcentral
UNUGACUUGAGUGCAGGAGGGGAGAGUGGAAUUCCAUGUGUAGCGGUGAAAUGCGUAGAUAUAUGGAGGAACACCAGUGGCGAAAGCGGCUCUCUGGUCUGUCACUGACGCUGAGGCUCGAAAGCGUGGGUAGCGAACAGGAUUAGAUACCCUGGUAGUCCACGCCGUAAACGAUGAGUGCUGGGUGUUAGGCCCUUUCCGGGGCUCAGUGCCGGAACUAACGCAAUAAGCACUCCGCCUGGGGAGUACGACCGCAAGGUUGAAACUCAAAGGAAUUGACGGGGGCCCGCACAAGCGGUGGAGCAUGUGGUUUAAUUCGAAGCAACGCGAAGAACCUUACCAGGUCUUGACAUCCCGAUGCUAUUCUUAGAGAUAGGAAGUUACUUCGGUACAUCGGAGACAGGUGGUGCAUGGUUGUCGUCAGCUCGUGUCGUGAGAUGUUGGGUUAAGUCCCGCAACGAGCGCAACCCUUAUUGUUAGUUGCCAUCAUUAAGUUGGGCACUCUAGCGAGACUGCCGGUAAUAAACCGGAGGAAGGUGGGGAUGACGUCAAAUCAUCAUGCCCCUUAUGACCUGGGCUACACACGUGCUACAAUGGUCGGUACAACGAGUUGCGAGCCGGUGACGGCAAGCUAAUCUCUGAAAGCCGAUCUCAGUUCGGAUUGGAGGCUGCAACUCGCCUCCAUGAAGUCGGAAUCGCUAGUAAUCGCGGAUCAGCACGCCGCGGUGAAUACGUUCCCGGGCCUUGUACACAC